Molecule: ribosomal RNA, 157 nt
Filed under: Ipomoea nil (Japanese morning glory)
Lineage: Eukaryota; Viridiplantae; Streptophyta; Magnoliopsida; Solanales; Convolvulaceae
Description: 5.8S ribosomal RNA
Rfam family: 5.8S ribosomal RNA
About the family: 5.8S ribosomal RNA (5.8S rRNA) is a component of the large subunit of the eukaryotic ribosome. It is transcribed by RNA polymerase I as part of the 45S precursor that also contains 18S and 28S rRNA. Functionally, it is thought that 5.8S rRNA may be involved in ribosome translocation.
Source: Rfam by way of RNAcentral
GACUCUCGGCAACGGAUAUCUCGGCUCUCGCAUCGAGGAAGAACGUAGCGAAAUGCGAUGACGGGGUGGAAUGGCAGAAGCCCGUGAACCAGUCGAGGCUGUGAACGCAAGGUGCGCCCGAAGCCGGGAGGCCGAGGGCACGUCUGCCUGGGCGUGC